Molecule: long non-coding RNA, 1627 nt
Filed under: Papio anubis (olive baboon)
Lineage: Eukaryota; Metazoa; Chordata; Mammalia; Primates; Cercopithecidae
Description: lncRNA (ENSPANG00000044382.1)
Source: RNAcentral
UAAUAAUUUGCUUGGAAGGAAGAACUGUCAGCCUUCCAAAGAAGAAAAAAAAAAACCCUUCCUAUUCAUGUCUGCCUUUGUCUCUUUUGUUCUUUUUUUGUUAAGCAAAUAUAUUUCUGCCCAUCAGUUGGGUUCACUCUGAUGUUAUGGCUUCAGUCAUUGAACAUGCCACCACUAAUGAAUAUAAUUUAAAUUUCUAUGAGCAGAAGACUACUGUAAAAAUAGCUUUUUAACUAAAAUGUUGAAACUUUUAUUAAAUGUAUAAAUAUUAGCUCAGUCAAAUCACUAUUAAGAGAAAAUUUAAAUUCUGUCUUAGUUUGGAAGUCUGUAUAAUGGUACAUCCAAUUUCUCCUUUUCAUUGGAACUUAGCAAGUAAAAUAAUUCUUUGUACUUGACCUAACAAGAUUAUUUCCGGGGAUUCAUAAAUGCAGACUGUACUUAGUACCUAGCUUCUAGAUAACCAUUAAACUCUCUCACAACAAGUGGAUGACUUUAAAAAGAAGCUUGUAAUGUAGUCAUGACUGCUUCCCCCAGUCUUUCUCUAGGUACUCAUACAGAUGACUGCAGACAAAAAUGAAAGAACAAUUUGAAUACAGAUAUCAAAAAGCCAGAAGCCAGAAUCAACAAACCCAAGGACUGAAUCAGCUAUGAGGUCAUUUGGUCUAGAUUUGCUUUAUGGAGGGGAAGACUGUUGCCCAAAGAGGUGGUGUGACUUGCUGGAUGGGAGAACCAGAGCAUGAGUCUCAUUCAGCUCCUAAAGCUCCCUGGUGGAUGGCGAGGCUCAGGGAAAUGGCUGUGAGAAGGGAAGGGAUAUAUAUGAAGGAGGGAAGGUGUCUGACUUCUGCUCUUUCUUCCCUAAAACUCUACAGAGUCAGAAACAGCUCAGAGGCUGCUCCCCACAGCUCCCCUGUACCUGUCAGUUAAGACCACACGACACUGCAACAUGAGUACUGAGAAUUCUUGUAUGCCCUACUCCCAGUUUUCUCCAAUGGUAACAUCGUCCAUAACCAUGGUAUAUGGUCAAAACUGGGAAUUGAAAUUGGCACAGUGCUAUUGAUUCAGGUAAAAACCUUACCCGGAUUUCCACAUUUUUUACAUGAAUGUGGUGUAUGUAUAGUUUCAUAAAAUUUUAGGUUCUGGUAACCAUCACCACAAUCAGGAUACAAAACUGUUCUUUCACAAUUGAGAAGUGACUUCAUGUUACCUUUUAAUAAUUUCAUCCUUUCGCCAGCCCUAACCCCUGGCAACUACUGAUCUGUUCUUCAUUACUAUAAUUUUGUAAAUUGAGGAAAGUUAUAUAAAUGGAAUCAUAAAAUGUUUAACCCUUUGGCAAUGGCUUUCAACAUGCAUCAUAAUUCCCUUGAGAGCCAUCCAAGUUGUUUGCAUGUAGCAGUCAUUUGUUCGCUCCUAUUGCUGAGUUGCAUCCCUUGGGAUGGUUGUAUCACCGUUUCCUUAUCUGUUUACUUGUUGAAGGACAUUUGAGUUGUUUCUCAUUUGGGGCUAUAGAAGUAAAUAGGGGUUUGGGGUUUAUAUAAGGAAAUAGAACUUCUAUAAACAUUUACGUACAGGUUUUUGUGGGAACAUACUACUUUCAUUUCUCUUGAAUACAUACUGAGGAGUGCAAUUG